RNAcentral lists this ribosomal RNA (355 nucleotides) under uncultured bacterium. RNAcentral describes it as "bacterial SSU rRNA". It matches the Rfam family "Bacterial small subunit ribosomal RNA", at positions 8 to 353 of the family's 1533-position model. The record is from RNAcentral.
AGAGUUUGAUCAUGGCUCAGGAUGAACGCUAGCUACAGGCUUAACACAUGCAAGUCGAGGGGCAGCAUGGUCUUAGCUUGCUUUUGAUGGGCGUCGACCGGCGCACGGGUGAGUAACACGUAUCCAACCUGCCGUCUACUCUUGGACAGCCUUCUGAAAGGAAGAUUAAUACAAGAUGGCAUCAUGAGUCCGCAUGUUCACAUGAUUAAAGGUAUUCCGGUAGACGAUGGGGAUGCGUUCCAUUAGAUAGUAGGCGGGGUAACGGCCCGCCUAGUCUUCGAUGGAUAGGGGUUCUGAGAGGAAGGUCCCCCACAUUGGAACUGAGACACGGUCCAAACUCCUACGGGAGGCAGCA